CGAGUCACAGGUUCUGUUUCCAUCAAUAUUAACAGAGAUGGCUUUGGACUGAAUCAAGGUGCAGAAAAGACUGACUCAUUUUAUCAUUCUUCUGGUGGGCUGGAGUUAUAUGGAGAACCAAGACAUACUACGUAUCGCUCAAGAUCAGAUCUGGACUAUAUUAGGUCCCCUUUACCAUUUCAGAAUAGGUACCCAGGCACUCCAGCUGAUUUCAAUCCUGGUUCUUUAGCAUGUUCUCAGCUUCAGAAUUACGAUCCUGACAGAGCCCUAACAGAUUAUAUCACUCGGCUAGAGGCACUGCAAAGACGACUUGGAACUAUACAGUCAGGUUCAACUACUCAAUUUCAUGCUGGCAUGAGAAGAUAAUCCUUUGAAACAUCAUUAAUUGAAGUGAUUUUAAAUAGAUUUCCUUUUGUAAAUCAAUGGUUCUUUUGUGCUUUUGUAUUGUGAAUAUUCAAUGGGACCAAUAUGAACACAGCUUAUGAUUGUAUACAAAUCCCUUGCCAGCACAUGAAAACAAACUGGAAUUUGUAUAUAUAAGCAUUGUGUAUGUAUUCAUGCACAAUAAUUAUUGAAUUACCUGUAUAUUUGUGGAAUGCUAAUUUAAAACAUUAAAUUAUAAACCUUGUGUAUUUAUCAAAUGGGUGAAAAGAUUAAACUUUUACGCAUUACAAUACUGCUGAAUGUGUAGCUCGAGGUGUCCUGCACUUUUCUUAUAAGGCUACUGAAGUUACAUGUUUUGCCUAAUAUAUUCUACUGGUGAUGAAGACAGAUAAUAUCACUUGUAGAGACCUAUUUUUGUAUAAUGGUAGAAGUUUUGAAUUUUAUGGGGUAUUUUGUCAAGUACUGAAAUAAAAAUGACUUCACCAUUU
RNAcentral lists this long non-coding RNA (872 nucleotides) under Homo sapiens (human). RNAcentral describes it as "long non-coding RNA NONHSAT212352.1". The record is from RNAcentral. Lineage: Eukaryota; Metazoa; Chordata; Mammalia; Primates; Hominidae.